Long non-coding RNA from Trachemys scripta elegans, 184 nucleotides. RefSeq lists it as uncharacterized. NCBI's taxonomy places the organism in Eukaryota, Metazoa, Chordata, Testudines, Emydidae. The record is from RefSeq and is a predicted model, not a curated record. The transcript is spliced from 3 exons.
ACGUCUUCCCCCAUGUUUCUCCCUGGCUGGCUGCAUUCUGGGUAUUGUUCACUCUGGUUCUCAUUGCUGCUGGCGCUUGUGCAUAUCUUGGAUACACAGCGAAGCAAAAGGCCUCUCAGAAGAAACAAUCUGAACAGAAGGCUCUGUUAAACUUUGAGACUGAGAAGAAGACCUUGGAAGCAGG